ACCUCGGAUCAGGUAGGGAUACCCGCUGAACUUAAGCAUAUCAAUAAGCGGAGGAAAAGAAACCAACAGGGAUUGCCUCAGUAACGGCGAGUGAAGCGGCAACAGCUCAAAUUUGAAAUCUGGCCUCUUUGGGGUCCGAGUUGUAAUUUGUAGAGGAUGUUUCGGGUACCGCCUCGGUUUAAAUUUCUUGGAACAGAAUGUCAAAGAGGGUGAGAAUCCCGUCUUGGACCGGCGGUAGGGCCCAUGUGAAACUCCUUCGACGAGUCGAGUUGUUUGGGAAUGCAGCUCAAAAUGGGUGGUAAAUUUCAUCUAAAGCUAAAUAUUGGCCAGAGACCGAUAGCGCACAAGUAGAGUGAUCGAAAGANGAAAAGCACUUUGAAAAGAGAGUUAAACAGUAUGUGAAAUUGUUGAAAGGGAAGCGCUUACAACCAGACUUGCGCGCGGCGGUUCCCCNUUCC
This 458-nucleotide ribosomal RNA is filed under the name Exophiala sp. C_2_BESC_319j. RNAcentral's name for it is "eukaryotic LSU rRNA". It matches the Rfam family "Eukaryotic large subunit ribosomal RNA", at positions 1 to 458 of the family's 3401-position model. Lineage: Eukaryota; Fungi; Ascomycota; Eurotiomycetes; Chaetothyriales; Herpotrichiellaceae. The record is from RNAcentral.